AGGGUAAAAGAGAUCUGAAAAUUCCCUGGCUAGCUGAACUGAUUCACAUUGGCUAAGACAAACUGUUAACUGUUACCUAAAGAAGAGAACAAACGAGAGAAGAGAAAACGCAAAGAGCCUGCAUGGCUUGGGUUUGAGGAAAAGUUUGGACAACUUUUGAGAGAGAGGAAGAGUGAUUUUGAACCACACAGCUGGACUGGGUGAGUGUAGUUUAUGGAAAAUAGAUGAGAGAAGAGGAUUCCUAGUAAGUUUUGGGAUGUGGAUGCAAUGUGAACAUAAAAGAUUGCCUUCUUAUGGAAACUGCAGCUAAGUACAGGUUACCUUACUCUUCAAUAUUAAGAAUGCUUUGAUGAUUCAGCAUUAGAAGCAUAUUGAAUGGAUUAACUUUACUUACUACCAUAACUACCAAAAUUGGUUAUUAAAGGCCUCUCAUCCCUUUUCUACUGAGAGGAAGUGGAAUGCACUCCGACAAGGAUAAGGUUUUAUUGUGAGCUGGCCUUGGAAUUAAACCACCACCAACACACUUUUGGAUUAUCAGAAGGUGGAAGGAGUGCAAACCAUGUUGAACUUGGAAGGCACGUGCUCCCGCUGGCAAAGCUAAGGACAGACGUGGCUGCAUGACUUGCACUGGACUGUGCUAUGAGUGAGAAACAAAAUUCCAUUGAGUUCUUCUGCUGAGAUUUUAAGAUUUGUUCUUAUUGCAUAGUCUAGCUGAAGCCUAACUUCUCCUUUUCUUAUUCUGUAUACCGUUUCCACAGUGCCAGUUACAGUGAUGCGUUAAACAUCCUUAUUUCCAGUUCAGAAUUUCCCUGGAGCUCCAAAUUUUUAUGUUUAAUUUCUUACUGGGCAAUUCCAGUUGUGUAUAUCAAAGGCCCAUCAAAUUAAAACUCAUUAUCUUCCCAUCUGAAACCUACUGUUUUUCUAUUCCUUCUUUUGGUAAUGGCAUUUCAAUUCACUUAAUUUUCAAAAUUAUAAACAUGAGCGUCAUUCUUGAAGCCCGUUUCUUGCUUCUUUCAAGAUUUUUUCUUCAUUUUUAAUUUUCAAGUUUUACUGUGAUGCAUUUGGAACAUAUUUCUUUGAGUUUACCCUGUUUGGGGCUCAUUGAGCUUUUUGAAUCUGUGGACUUUUCUUUCACCAAACAUGGGGAGUUUUCAGCCAUUACUUCUUCCAAUUUUUUUCAUAAUCAUAUACCUUCUCUUCUCUUACUGCAACUCCAGUGACAUAAAUUAGAUAUUUUGUUAUUGUCUCAUGGAUGCCUAUAGAUCUGUUUUUGUUUGUUUGUUUUUGAGAUGGAGUCUCGCU
This 1302-nucleotide long non-coding RNA is filed under the name Homo sapiens (human). Its description in RNAcentral is "HSALNT0341624". The record is from RNAcentral. Lineage: Eukaryota; Metazoa; Chordata; Mammalia; Primates; Hominidae.